GACGAACGCUGGCGGCGCGCUUAGCACAUGCAAGUCGAACGGAAAGGCCUGCUUUCCCUUGUGGAUUGCGGGUACUCGAGUGGCGAACGGGUGAGUAACACGUGAGUGAUCUGCCCCCAACUUGGGUAUAAGCCUGGGAAACUGGGUCUAAUUCCCGAUAGGACUGCAGGGUGGUGCCUGUGGUGGAAAACGAUUUUCUAGUGGUUGGGGAUGAGCUCGCGGCCUAUCAGCUUGUUGGUGGGGUAAUGGCCUACCAAGGCGGCGACGGGUAGCCGGCCUGGGAGGGUGGACGGCCACAUUGGGACUGAGAUACGGCCCAGACUCCUACGGGAGGCAGCAGUGGGGAAUAUUGCACAAUGGGCGGAAGCCUGAUGCAGCGACGCCGCGUGGGGGAUGACGGCCUUCGGGUUGUAAACUCCUUUCGACCGCGAGGAAGCCACCUGGUUGGAAGGGUGGUGACGGUAGUGGUAGAAGAAGCACCGGCUAACUACGUG
RNAcentral lists this ribosomal RNA (494 nucleotides) under uncultured bacterium. RNAcentral's name for it is "partial 16S ribosomal RNA". It matches the Rfam family "Bacterial small subunit ribosomal RNA", at positions 28 to 507 of the family's 1533-position model. The record is from RNAcentral.